This 797-nucleotide long non-coding RNA is filed under the name Salmo salar (Atlantic salmon). RNAcentral's name for it is "lncRNA (ENSSSAG00000093838.1)". Lineage: Eukaryota; Metazoa; Chordata; Actinopteri; Salmoniformes; Salmonidae. The record is from RNAcentral.
GAAGCUGCAGGUAUAUGUUACUGGAAGACUGAGAAGCACCUGAUGACAAUUCUUGGAAUUGUGGACACUUGCUGCGUACACACAUGUGUGGACACACAUUCACUGCUGACAGGUCUGUGGCUGCCAGAGUAAAGAAAAGAUGGUCUGGGUUGGAAGGGACAUGCUGUUACAGCAUCAGGACCAGGAGGAGUCUAGAAGACGUGGUGGAGGAACUAGUGGAUUUAAACACACCUUCCUGGGAGAAAGGAGAUGGGGCUGACAAGACGCAGAAAAAUGUUGCUGGGAUUGACACUCACCAAGGAGCUGUACCGUACCUGUCACCAAUGCUGCUGUACAUGGAUUAUUGGGUCUGUUGCUGCAUACUGUACUGAGGCAUGGUCGUCAGCUUUCACACCUUUCACCCCUCACUCUUUGCCCCCUUACGCAACACACACACACACACACACACACACACACACACACACACACACACACACACACACACACACACACACACACACACACACACACACACACACACACACACACACACACACACACACACAGGCAGAACGACACAGAGCUCAAGCCUUUCCCCAGCCUUUGAUUGUGGAAUUUCCUGCCCAAGGACAUCCGCCAUUCAAAUGUCUUUUCACAAUUCACUUCCCAACUCGAAAUUUCAAAUGCCAGGGCUUUCAAUUAACAUUGAGCUCAUGUGAAGCACCUACAGCCCCUUGUCUGUGAAAAGCAGUACAGAAUGGGUUUUGUAUGGCGUUCAAGCACAUAAUAAACCGAUGGGAGGAUUUGCAAGAUUAUGA